AAGAUGAGACUGCUAAAAUUAUGUAUGACCUCAUUUGAUAGAUUAUCUAAUAAGGAAUUUGCUAAUGCAGUUUAUCACUUAAAAAGCCAUACGACUGCUAAGGAUGAGUACUUUGCUGCAGCACAUUUAAACCUAAUUGUCAGAGGAGAAAAGCAAGCGGAUUUCAGAGGUGAGUUAGAAGAGCAUCCUUAUGAGGAUGAUGUCUUCACUAAAUCAGUGGUGCAAUGCAGCAAGCAGGGUGGAAAGGAGUCUCCUCUGGAUAAAGUCCUGUGACUCAUUUAAAAAGACUGAACAUCACUUUGACGUACACAAACAGAACUAGAAAGCAGCUCAAGCCAAUGAAACAAAGCUUGUUUUGCAGGAAAACAUUAGGUAAACAUUCCUAGAAAGACAGAAGUGAAAUGCCUGGCAGGAACUACAGCAAGCAUCUGCUGCUCAGUGGUUAAAGAUUGCCCAGCAAAGUCAAGGGGAUGUGAGAAGAGAGCAAGGCUGAAGCUGAGGUCAUACCCGAGGAUCUUUCUACAUUCCUCCAAAGGGUGGAAAU
This is a long non-coding RNA of Chiroxiphia lanceolata (lance-tailed manakin), 544 nucleotides long. RefSeq lists it as uncharacterized. The transcript has 3 exons. NCBI's taxonomy places the organism in Eukaryota, Metazoa, Chordata, Aves, Passeriformes, Pipridae. The record is from RefSeq and is a predicted model, not a curated record.